CUGUUCGCUUUGGCAGCACAUAUGCUAAAAUUGGAAUGAUACAGAGAGAUUAGCAUGGCCCCUGCGCAAGGAUGACAUGCAAAUUCAUGAAGCAUUCCAUAUUUUU
RNAcentral lists this small nuclear RNA (106 nucleotides) under Propithecus coquereli (Coquerel's sifaka). Lineage: Eukaryota; Metazoa; Chordata; Mammalia; Primates; Indriidae. The record is from RNAcentral.